ACGCUCGACACCUACGGGGGGCAGCAGUGGGGAAUAUUGCACAAUGGGGGAAACCCGUGAUGCAGCGACGCCGCGUGGAGGAAGAAGGUCUUCGGAUUGUAAACUCCUGUUGUUGGGGAAAAAGAGGAUGGUACCCAACAAGGAAGUGACGGCUAACUACGUGCCAGCAGCCGGGUAAUCUGAGCGGGCUGGCAAGGC
This 198-nucleotide ribosomal RNA is filed under the name uncultured bacterium. RNAcentral describes it as "partial 16S ribosomal RNA". It matches the Rfam family "Bacterial small subunit ribosomal RNA", at positions 328 to 539 of the family's 1533-position model. The record is from RNAcentral.